Non-coding RNA from Aspergillus oryzae RIB40, 169 nucleotides. The record is from the annotation of a RefSeq genome assembly. Lineage: Eukaryota; Fungi; Ascomycota; Eurotiomycetes; Eurotiales; Aspergillaceae.
GGCAAGAUGACCGAGUGGUUAAGGUGUAAGUACCGACGUCGUCUAUAUUGUAACUCUAGCAGUUACCUAACCUUAUCUUAUUAGGUAUGACUCAAGCUACAGCUUGCCCUAGAGAAUAGGGUGCCUUCAUAUGUCGCAAGACGCGUGGGUUCGAAUCCCACUCUUGUCA